This 301-nucleotide ribosomal RNA is filed under the name uncultured bacterium. RNAcentral describes it as "partial 16S ribosomal RNA". It matches the Rfam family "Bacterial small subunit ribosomal RNA", at positions 509 to 807 of the family's 1533-position model. The record is from RNAcentral.
CAGCAGCCGCGGGAAAACGAAGGGGGCUAGCGUUGUUCGGAAUUACUGGGCGUAAAGGGCGCGUAGGCGGCCAUUCAAGUUAGAUGUGAAAUCCCCGGGCUUAACCUGGGAACUGCAUUUGUGACUGGCGGGCUAGGGUAUGGCAGAGGGGGGUAGAAUUCCACGUGUAGCAGUGAAAUGCGUAGAGAUGUGGAGGAAUACCGAUGGCGAAGGCAGCCCCCUGGGCCAAUACUGACGCUCAUGCACGAAAGCGUGGGGAGCAAACAGGAUUAGAUACCCGUGUAGUCCCUGUCUCUUAUAC